RNAcentral lists this long non-coding RNA (1906 nucleotides) under Mus musculus (house mouse). RNAcentral describes it as "long non-coding RNA chr18:53755254-53757160". The record is from RNAcentral. Lineage: Eukaryota; Metazoa; Chordata; Mammalia; Rodentia; Muridae.
GAAGCGGUUAAGAGCACCAGCGGCUUUUGUGGAAGGGCUGGAUCCAAGUCCCCCCAACCACAAGCAACUCUCAGCCGGUUGUUAACUCCAGUUCCAAGGGAUCCAACGCCCUCUACUGACUUCUGUGUGUACUGCAAGCACAGGGCACGGAGACCAAUGCAGAAGACACAGUUCAGACUAUACGUACAAAUAAUAAAUGUUUAAAAAAAAAUGAGUCAAACCUAAAUGCUGUUGCUUGUCAAAGGCUCCUGAGCCUGAAGCCAGAGUUCCAUUUGUUUUAGAAAGAGAAAUAAUGGUCCUGGGCUGCGUAAGGAGAAAUUAACAAAGGUUAAAAAGCGUUACCAAAAAAAAAAAAAAAACAAACCAACCAACCAAACAAAAAAAAAAAACCCAGGCUGUCAUGUCAGUCCAAGGACAUCCCCAGAACUGCAAGGAAAUUAAAUCACUUUUACUAUGUGAGUCACUGUUAUUUAUAUCACCUAACGUCCUGCCCAGGGGCCCACACCCGUCUCCAGCAAACACUGUGCUGCUCCUGGAUGCCGCUCUAGGUAAAAGGAGAGUGGCCUCUGGUGCGGCCCUGAGCCAGCUGUGAGAACGACUGCGGAACGGAAGCAUUAUCCUCCAUAUUCUGUACCUGCACGCCAUGCUGGUCAGGGUAUGCCCUGUGCUCACGAACUCUCCUGUGGUGGACUGGAUCAUGUAGCUCAAACUGGUUUGGUUUGGUUUUGUGAGAGGUGGAAGGGUGUUGAGACAAACUCUUAUCUUUUUAUGUGGCAGAGGAUAAUCCUGAAUUCCUCAUCCUCCUGUCGGAACUUACUAUGUGCUGGCAUUUCGACCUUGACUCAACACGCCCAGACAAAAGGCUUAUACUGAAUUCUGUUUGUUUGUUUGUUUGUUUGUUUUAGUGAUUUUUAUUUUUUAUUUUAGUUUUGUGUUUGUUUGAGUCAGGGUUUCUCUGUGCAAUAGCUCUGGCUGUCCUGAAACUUCUUUUGUAGACCAGUCUGACUUUGAACUCAGAGAUCCACCUGCUUCUGCCUCCAGAGUGCUGGGAUUAAAAGGGUGUGCCAGCACUGCCCAGCUACACGGAAGUCUUAAUCUCCAGUAGCCAGGCCCAUAAGAAUCGAAAUGGACUUUGAGGAGAAUGUAUACUUGUUGGGGUGAGCCCUGACUCCGGGUUACCGGUGUUCUGAGCGUAGGCUACAGACAUACAUACAGAAAGAAGUCCAUGCGAAGAUGCAGGAAUCAGAUACAAUCUAUAGACCAAGAAGAGGCAUCUUAGAAGAAAGCAGGUCAGCUCACAGCAUCAUCAUGGUCUUCAGCCUUGAAAAUUGUGAGAAGAUCAUUUCUGUUUAAACAGCUCAGUCUGGGCCUCUCGGGCAAAUCAACAUAUUUGCCGAAUGGGACAAAUUCAGAAGACACUUCCCCUGUCCCCAAUCAGCUUGCUUCUUGAAAUAUUACAGAGAAAACUGAAGCUCGGAACCCAUGCAGACAUAAUUUAUGUGUGGAUCUAUGGUGAAGAACAUGUGUCGGGCUCCAAGUGGAAAUUACAUAUGAAGAGUCACAUCCUGGAUACAGUCGAGGCAGGUGCUUAAGUCCAGUGGCACAAGCUGCCCUCUGCAUCACUGGUGUCACGGAGAAUGUGCCUCAGUGAGAGAUAACCCUAGGUUAGAAGUGGAACGGUAGAUCUCAUAGAUCGUGUUCUCAGAGGUACCUUGUCACAAGAGGCAACUAGAGCUUAGUCAAAAGUGAUACAGGGCUAAAGAGAUGGCUCAGUGGUUAAGAGUAGUAGCUGUCCCUUCGAGAGGAGCCAGGUUCAAUUCCCAGCAUCCACAUGGCAGCUCACAACCAUCUGUAACACCAGUUCCACAGGAUUUAGUGCCCUCUUUUGGUCUUCACCUCCUUUUUU